UUUACAUUUACUUAGUUAUUAAAUUGUACACGCCCUUUACUGUUCUCUCGCCUUUCUCCUUUUCAUUCACUAUAUAUUACAUAUGUUGAGCGUUAACUUAUUUUUUAUUUUAUUGGUAUGCCUUUUUGGUAUAGCAUACUCAUCAUCAUUGUCGGACGAUUAUCAAAAGGAAAUUUUUCUUUGCAACAUAAAACAGAAAAUUUACAAAAUAAAUUAAGUUCAUUUAGAGUUAAAAGAUAUGAUUUAGAUUCAACAUUUCAUAGUAACAAGUGUAUUUUAACAUAUGAUAAUGUAUGCAGCACCAGUAACUACGAACUUAAAAUUAAAAAUGGAUUGAGUAAUACUUUAGUCAAUGUGAUGUUAGUUCAAAAGAAAACAAGUGACAUUGUGUCAGUACACGCACAACAAGUAAGGUUUUCAUAUGAAGGAACCGCUUUGAUAAAAUUUGAUAAUAUUCCAUCGUUACAUUACAGUGUACGUAUAGAAACAACAAAUGUAAUGUACAACACAAAGGAUACUACAAUAGGUAUUGAUUGUUAUUGUCAAAUGUGUUCGAAUACCAAGUUGGAAAUAGUAUUAGAAAACAUGGAACAUGGAAUUAUUUAUAAAAUGGAAAAUGAUACAUCAAAUGAGUUAUUAUACCCACACAAUUAUUUUGUUCAUGGAAAAUAUUUAUUCAAUCAAUUUUUAUUAUUUCAGCAAAGCCAAAACAUCGAAACGAUAGAUAAUUACAAUGCGUUUUAUAGCAAUCAUUCAGAGUUAGUAUAUCCAUGUUCAGGGCUUAUAAUGGUACAUGCAGAUAAGUAUAAUAUACAUUAUGAUUUAAAUGAUGCAACUUGCUUUUAUGUUAGUUUAAUGAACAAGUUUUUAGAAAAGAUAAUUUCUAAUAACUAUGAUAUUGUAAAAUUUGAAAAUAACCACGUUUUGUUGUUAUUUAAUAAUAUGGGUGAAGGGAAUGAAGAUUUGGUAGUAAUAGAUGGUGAAAGUUCGAUUGCGUUACCACUAACAUAUAAUAAUGGAUAUUUUAAAGCAAGUAGCGAAUCAAGCGUAAAAAUAAUUCAUAUCAAUACUAAUUACAUAUUAAAUGAAGUAAAAUAUAUUUACAAGAAUAAUACUUAUAACAGAAUGGAAUAUGUGCAAAUGUUUCGAGCUUUUUCAAAGUUAUUUUUAAAUUAUUAUAAACUAUCACAUAAAGAGUUGUUACAAUACACAACAGGUUUGGUUUUUGAAAAGCCGGAUUGGCCAGAAGAAUCAGAAGAUACGAUGGCAUAUGAAAUGUAUGCAGA
Molecule: long non-coding RNA, 1286 nt
Filed under: Piliocolobus tephrosceles (Ugandan red Colobus)
Lineage: Eukaryota; Metazoa; Chordata; Mammalia; Primates; Cercopithecidae
Description: lncRNA (ENSPTEG00000015791.1)
Source: RNAcentral